UGGCACGGACACGACUGGCGCAGGUGGGGCACCACCGGGGAGUGACGUCGUGGGCAUCGCCCGCCUGGGUGCCCACA
This 77-nucleotide non-coding RNA is filed under the name Austwickia chelonae. RNAcentral's name for it is "ZTP sequence". It matches the Rfam family "ZMP/ZTP riboswitch aptamer (pfl RNA motif)". From Rfam's summary of the family: Previously known as pfl RNA. RNAcentral also lists the same sequence under 1 other name. The record is from RNAcentral. Lineage: Bacteria; Bacillati; Actinomycetota; Actinomycetes; Micrococcales; Dermatophilaceae.